GUCCACGCCCUAACGAUGUCAACUGGUUGUUGGUCUUAACUGACUCAGUAACGAAGCUAACGCGUGAAGUUGACCGCCUGGGAGUACGCCGCAAGGUUGAACUCAAGGAAUUGACGGGACCCGCACAAGCGGUGGAUGAUGUGGUUUAAUUCGAUGCAACGCGAAACCUUUACCCACCUUUGACAUGUACGGAAGGAUCCAGAGAUGGAUUUGUGCUCGAAAGAGAACCGUAACACAGGUGCUGCAUGGCUGUCGU
Molecule: ribosomal RNA, 256 nt
Filed under: uncultured bacterium
Lineage: Bacteria
Description: partial 16S ribosomal RNA
Rfam family: Bacterial small subunit ribosomal RNA
Source: RNAcentral